GAUGAAGAACGCAGCGAAAUGCGAAAAGUAGUGUGAAUUGCAGAAUUCAGUGAAUCAUCGAAUCUUUGAACGCACAUUGCGCCCUUUGGCAUUCCGAAGGGCAUGCCUGUUCGAGCGUCAUUUAUCAACCCUCAAGCCCGGCUUGCGGUUGGGUCCCGCCGUGGGCGACCACGGCGGACCCGAAAGGUAAUGGCGGUGCCCGUGGGGCCCUGGACGCAGCGAGCUUCUCGGCACGCGUCCCGGCGGUCCCCGGCGCCGUCUCCACCAAUCCACCACGCAGAUUGACCUCGGAUCAGGUAGGGAUACCCGCUGAACUUAAGCAUAUCAAUAAGCGGAGGA
This 339-nucleotide unclassified non-coding RNA is filed under the name soil metagenome. Its description in RNAcentral is "partial contains 5.8S ribosomal RNA, internal transcribed spacer 2, and large subunit ribosomal RNA". The stretch from base 1 to 120 matches the Rfam family "5.8S ribosomal RNA", at positions 35 to 154 of the family's 154-position model. The record is from RNAcentral.